Molecule: ribosomal RNA, 329 nt
Filed under: uncultured eukaryote
Lineage: Eukaryota
Description: partial 18S ribosomal RNA
Rfam family: Eukaryotic small subunit ribosomal RNA
Source: RNAcentral
CCCUUAGAUGUCCUGGGCCGCACGCGCGCUACACUGAGUGUCUGAGAUACGAGUCUGCCUGGUCCGGCAAGGUCUAGGUAAUCGCUAAAAGACACAUCAUGCUUGGGAUAGAUUAUUGCAAAUAUUAAUCUUGAACGAGGAAUUUCUAGUAAGCGCAAGUCAACAGCUUGCGUUGAUUACGUCCCUGCCCUUUGUACACACCGCCCGUCGCUACUACUGAUUGGAUGUUUAAGCGAGGUUCUCGAACUGCUAGCGACUUAGCUUCGGUGAGGUCGCAGUGUGGGAAGUGAACCUAGCUUUGGUGUCUAGAGGAAGUAAAAGUCGUAACA